AUGGUGGGCAUGGGUCGAGAGCGCUCUGAGGCUCCUUCCUCGGCGCGUGGUGGUAGGGGUAGUUCCAUUCCACCUCAGACCCUCUGGAGAGCGCUAGAUCUCAGUAUGCAGACACCACCGGCGGUCGCUUCUUCUUUGGCCAGGAGAGGUCGGCGGGGGAAGAAGAAGGAGAAUGCUAGUAGAGGUGGACGUGGUAGCGGGAGAGGUAGGAAGGCUGCCACUAUGCCUUCCUCGCCGCCACCCUCACCUGAUUCACCUGACCACAGGACUUCUCCGUCUGAGAUGGAGCCGCCUGAGGUGGACCCGUCUCGGACCCCGGUCCACGAGCCUCAGGCCGACGAGCCUCGGGCCGACGAGCCUUCGCCCCACGAGACUCCGGUCCCAGAGGCUCCGUCCCACGAGACUCUGGAUCAGGCUACGUCACAGCCGAACCGAUUGGGGGAAUGGCCGGAGUCGAGUGGCCAUGCUGAUGGUGACAAGGGUGGCUAUAGUUCUGAUAGCUAUAGUGAGAGUGAGCUGGUUGAGGGGGGCAAUGUCUACCAGCGUGGUGGUACAAAGCUACCGCCCACCCCGGCGACCCCUGACCAGAGGUGGUUGAUUACGCCUGAUGGGGAGAAGUCUUGGAAGCACGGUCGUGGUGUCCGCAGGCCCAACACAGUCCUUGGUGUGAUUUGUCGCCAGAGCUUCCCGGGAUGGGUCACGUUGCCCGGUGAGGGCCAGGUUCCAGAGCUAGGAAUGACCUGGGAGCACUACUUGGCAGCCCCGGCCCCGCCGGGGGAGAGGAUCGGCGGUGUUGAGUGCCACACGGUGGCCGACGUUGUGAUCCUGACGUUUUGGACCUUUUAUAGGUGUGCUGAGGGACAGGAGGAGGCCGCGACUCGGGUUAUCGAAGCCGAGUGCAGGCGGCUACUUCAAAACUGGCGGAACGGGGCUCGGACGCAGGCUACUCGAGACUACUUCACCUCGAUUGGUAUUAGGAUGUCCAAGUCGAAGUGCCGCACAAAGUAUCUGAGUAAGGAGAAGUACAUGAAGGUGCCCCCGAGAUGGGGUGCGGAUAGGCUGGAUUGUUGGGAGGCGUUGGUGGAUGAGUGGUGCUCUCCCCAAUGGCUAUCCACCCACAACAAUGCAAAGGAUCGGCGUGGCAAAAUGAGCGGUGUGCCACACCAUCAAGGCAGCGUCAACCUAUAUCAGUACGGGGAUAACUGGGUGCGGCACAACGAGACGGAUGUGCCAGAGCUGUUCGACCUCUAUUCCAUGGCCCAUAGUGCCCCGUAUAAGAAGGCCAAGGCAUUCUCUGAGUCUGAUCUUGAUGAUCCAAAGAACUUCACCAACCGCGCCUCCCACAACAAGCUCGUGAGGUAUAGAGACGAGGGGAAGGCGAGGAAAGGGCCGGACUUUAACCCGAGCCAGCCUAUUGAUCUAGAGCUGGUGAUGAUAUCUGGUGGCGGGAGGAACCCUGGCUUGUUAGCCAUUGGGGAUGGACUGAUACGUUGUACUAGCACUCUCCCGCAGAUCAAGAGGCGCCAGACGAGCUCCGAUCCUGAGAUAAGACCUCGUCCACGGCCAAUGGAUCUUGAAAUCAAGGCUGCUAUUGAGGAAGAGAGAGCAAAGACCCAGGAGCUUCUGGCGGAGGAAAGGAGGCAUGCGGCGGAGAGGGAGAGGGAGAUUGAGGAGAGGACGGCUAGGCUUUUGGAGGAGGAGAGGAACCGGAACGACUUGGCUAACCGGGCCAUAUACGAGCUCUUCGCGUCCAUGUGCGAGAAGAACGGUCAGACCCCUCCGCCGAUGCCAGUCAUUGCUCCGGCGGACACUCAUAACUCCCGACAAGCAUCGACGUCUGCCAUUGGCGCGAGCAAGAACCCCGAUCCUCCUCCGUCUGCCACAACCGCGAGCAAGAACCACGAUCCUUCACCUACGGGUUGA
This 1923-nucleotide ribosomal RNA is filed under the name Triticum aestivum (bread wheat). RNAcentral describes it as "partial small subunit ribosomal RNA". Lineage: Eukaryota; Viridiplantae; Streptophyta; Magnoliopsida; Poales; Poaceae. The record is from RNAcentral.